This 1424-nucleotide ribosomal RNA is filed under the name metagenome. RNAcentral describes it as "bacterial LSU rRNA". It matches the Rfam family "Bacterial large subunit ribosomal RNA", at positions 1472 to 2911 of the family's 2925-position model. The record is from RNAcentral.
UCGGAGCAGUGACACGGCCGCGGGGCGACGGAAGUCCCCGUUGAAGGGCGUAGGCUAUGACGAGGGCAGGCAAAUCCACCCUUUGAGCUGAAACUUGACAGUAUGGAGUCCUCCCCGGAGGAGUCCAAUAGCGCCGGUAAUCAUACUCCCGAGAAAAUCCGCUAAGCUAAACCCUCAUGGUACCCGUACCGCAAACCGACACAGGUAGACGGGUAGAACAUACUAAGGCGUUGAGAGAUUCAUGGUUAAGGAACUAGGCAAACUGACCCUGUAACUUCGGGAUAAAGGGUCCUCAUAGCAAUAUGAGGCGCAGAGAAUAGGUCCAGGCAACUGUUUAACAAAAACACAGGGCUGUGCUAACACGAAAGUUGAAGUAUACAGCCUGACACCUGCCCGGUGCCGGAAGGUUGAGAGGAGAGGUCAUCCUUCGGGUGAAGCCUUGAAUUGAAGCCCCGGUAAACGGCGGCCGUAACAAUAACGGUCCUAAGGUAGCGAAAUUCCUUGUCGGGUAAGUUCCGACCUGCACGAAUGGUGUAAUGAUCUGGACGCUGUCUCAACCGUGAGCUCAGUGAAAUUGUAGUAUCGGUGAAGAUGCCGAUUACCCGCGAUGGGACGAAAAGACCCCGUGAACCUUUACUAUAGCUUAGCACUGACCUUGGUCAUCCGAUGUGUAGGAUAGGCCGGAGGCUUUGAAGCGCGCACGCCAGUGUGUGUGGAGCCAUCCUUGAAAUACGGCCCUUUGGCUGUCUGAGGUCUAACGCGCAUGUUGCGCGGACACUGCUUGGUGGGUAGUUUGACUGGGGUGGUCGCCUCCAAAAGCGUAACGGAGGCUUCCAAAGGUGCCCUCGGGCCGAUUGGUAACCGGCCUUGAAGAGUGCAAUGGCAUAAGGGCGCUUGACUGGGAGGCAGACAUGCCGAGCAGGCAGGAAACUGGGGCAUAGUGAUCCGGUGCAAGUGUAUGGAAACUGCAUCGCUCAAAGGAUAAAAGGUACUCCGGGGAUAACAGGCUGAUCCCCCCCAAGAGCUCAUAUCGACGGGGUGGUUUGGCACCUCGAUGUCGGCUCGUCACAUCCUGGGGCUGGAGAAGGUCCCAAGGGUUGGGCUGUUCGCCCAUUAAAGUGGCACGCGAGCUGGGUUCAGAACGUCGUGAGACAGUUCGGUCUCUAUCUAUCGUGGGCGCAGGAGUUUUGCGUGGUGCCGUCACUAGUACGAGAGGACCGUGAUGGACAGACCUCCGGUUUACCGGUUGUGCCGCCAGGUGCACCGCCGGGUAUCUGAGUCUGGUAUGGAUAAGCGCUGAAAGCAUCUAAGCGCGAAGCCUUCCGCAAGAUGAGAACUCCCUUUAGGGUCGUCAUAGACGAUGACGUUGAUAGGGUGCAGGUGUAAAGACGGUGACGUCAAAGCCGAGCACUACUAAUUGCCCU